AGCAGUGUAGCAUAGUGGUAAGGAGCUAGGCUUGUAACCUAAAGGUUGCUGGAUAGAUUCCCCGCUGGGG
Molecule: non-coding RNA, 70 nt
Organism: Megalops atlanticus (tarpon)
Lineage: Eukaryota; Metazoa; Chordata; Actinopteri; Elopiformes; Megalopidae
Source: the annotation of a GenBank genome assembly